RNAcentral lists this ribosomal RNA (554 nucleotides) under Lacticaseibacillus rhamnosus. RNAcentral's name for it is "bacterial SSU rRNA". It matches the Rfam family "Bacterial small subunit ribosomal RNA", at positions 11 to 526 of the family's 1533-position model. Lineage: Bacteria; Bacillati; Bacillota; Bacilli; Lactobacillales; Lactobacillaceae. The record is from RNAcentral.
GUUUUGAUCCUGGCUCAGGAUGAACGCUGGCGGCGUGCCUAAUACAUGCAAGUCGAACGAGUUCUGAUUAUUGAAAGGUGCUUGCAUCUUGAUUUAAUUUUGAACGAGUGGCGGACGGGUGAGUAACACGUGGGUAACCUGCCCUUAAGUGGGGGAUAACAUUUGGAAACAGAUGCUAAUACCGCAUAAAUCCAAGAACCGCAUGGUUCUUGGCUGAAAGAUGGCGUAAGCUAUCGCUUUUGGAUGGACCCGCGGCGUAUUAGCUAGUUGGUGAGGUAACGGCUCACCAAGGCAAUGAUACGUAGCCGAACUGAGAGGUUGAUCGGCCACAUUGGGACUGAGACACGGCCCAAACUCCUACGGGAGGCAGCAGUAGGGAAUCUUCCACAAUGGACGCAAGUCUGAUGGAGCAACGCCGCGUGAGUGAAGAAGGCUUUCGGGUCGUAAAACUCUGUUGUUGGAGAAGAAUGGUCGGCAGAGUAAACUGUUGUCGGGCGUGACGGUAUCCAACCAGAANGCCACGGCUAACUACGUGCCAGCAGCCGCGGUAAUAA